This 631-nucleotide ribosomal RNA is filed under the name uncultured eukaryote. RNAcentral's name for it is "SSU rRNA". It matches the Rfam family "Eukaryotic small subunit ribosomal RNA", at positions 610 to 1270 of the family's 1831-position model. The record is from RNAcentral.
UUGUUGCAGUUAAAAAGCUCGUAGUUGGACCUUGGGCAGGAGGCACGGGUUGGCCGAAUGGCUCGACUCGGGUCUCCGGCCUCUAUGGGUGGUCGUGCCUUUGGUACGGUUCGCCCGGGUUACUGUGAAGAAAUUAGAGUGUUUAAAGCAGGCGAUUGCUUGGAUACAUCAGCAUGGAAUAACAAGAUAGGACCUGGUUCCACUUGUUGGUUUGGGGGCUUUGGUAAUGAUUAAUAGGGCCAGUUGGGGGCAUUAGUAUUCAGUAGUCAGAGGUGAAAUUCUUGGAUUUACUGAAGACUAACUAGUGCGAAAGCAUUUGCCAAGGAUGUUUUCAUUAAUCAAGAACGAAAGUUAGGGGAUCGAAGACGAUCAGAUACCGUCGUAGUCUUAACUAUAAACGAUGCCGACUCGGGAUCGGCAGACGUCGUUAGCGACACUGUCGGCACCGUGUGAGAAAUCAAAGUUUUUGGGUUCUGGGGGGAGUAUGGUCGCAAGGCUGAAACUUAAAGGAAUUGACGGAAGGGCACCACCAGGAGUGGAGCCUGCGGCUUAAUUUGACUCAACACGGGAAAACUCACCAGGUCCGGACAUAGUAAGGGAUUGACAGAUUGAGAGCUCUUUCUUGAUUCUG